AUUGAACGCUGGCGGCAUGCUUUACACAUGCAAGUCGAACGGCAGCGCGGGCUUCGGCCUGGCGGCGAGUGGCGAACGGGUGAGUAAUGCAUCGGAACGUGCCCAGUAGUGGGGGAUAGCCCGGCGAAAGCCGGAUUAAUACCGCAUACGACCUGAGGGUGAAAGCGGGGGACCGAAAGGCCUCGCGCUAUUGGAGCGGCCGAUGUCGGAUUAGCUAGUUGGUGGGGUAAAGGCUUACCAAGGCGACGAUCCGUAGCUGGUCUGAGAGGACGACCAGCCACACUGGGACUGAGACACGGCCCAGACUCCUACGGGAGGCAGUAGUGGGGAAUUUUGGACAAUGGGGGCAACCCUGAUCCAGCCAUGCCGCGUGCGGGAAGAAGGCCUUCGGGUUGUAAACCGCUUUUGUUCGGGAAGAAAUCCUCUGGGCUAAUACCCCGGGGGGAUGACGGUACCGGAAGAAUAAGCACCGGCUAACUACGUG
Molecule: ribosomal RNA, 484 nt
Filed under: uncultured bacterium
Lineage: Bacteria
Description: partial 16S ribosomal RNA
Rfam family: Bacterial small subunit ribosomal RNA
Source: RNAcentral